Molecule: ribosomal RNA, 468 nt
Filed under: uncultured bacterium
Lineage: Bacteria
Description: partial 16S ribosomal RNA
Rfam family: Bacterial small subunit ribosomal RNA
Source: RNAcentral
GACGAACGCUGGCGGCGUGCUUAACACAUGCAAGUCGAACGGAAAGGCCCUGCUUUUGUGGGGUGCUCGAGUGGCGAACGGGUGAGUAACACGUGAGUAACCUGCCCUUGACUUUGGGAUAACUUCAGGAAACUGGGGCUAAUACCGGAUAGGAGCUCCUGCUGCAUGGUGGGGGUUGGAAAGUUUCGGCGGUUGGGGAUGGACUCGCGGCUUAUCAGCUUGUUGGUGGGGUAGUGGCUUACCAAGGCUUUGACAGGUAGCCGGCCUGAGAGGGUGACCGGCCACAUUGGGACUGAGAUACGGCCCAGACUCCUACGGGAGGCAGCAGUGGGGAAUAUUGCACAAUGGGCGGAAGCCUGAUGCAGCAACGCCGCGUGCGGGAUGACGGCCUUCGGGUUGUAAACCGCAUUCGCCUGUGACGAAGCGUGAGUGACGGUAAUGGGUAAAGAAGCACCGGCUAACUACGUG